This 333-nucleotide unclassified non-coding RNA is filed under the name Serendipita sp. RNAcentral's name for it is "partial contains 5.8S ribosomal RNA, internal transcribed spacer 2, and large subunit ribosomal RNA". The stretch from base 1 to 71 matches the Rfam family "5.8S ribosomal RNA", at positions 84 to 154 of the family's 154-position model. Lineage: Eukaryota; Fungi; Basidiomycota; Agaricomycetes; Sebacinales; Serendipitaceae. The record is from RNAcentral.
GUGAAUCAUCGAAUCUUUGAACGCACCUUGCACCCUUUGGUAUUCCGAAGGGUACGCCCGUUUGAGUGUCAUUGUAAUCUCACAUCAACAACUUUUGUUGUGGAUGGUGGAAUUGGAUGUCUGUCGUGUAUACGACUCAUCUGAAAUGCAUGAGUGUACCCUGCCUUGCAGCGUAUCCAGUGUGAUAAGUAUCUUCACUGGUUUAGCCUUCAUAGGCGACGCCUUGGCCACAGGUAGUAUGCUUCUAACCGUCCUCUGGACAAUACCUUGACAAUUUGACCUCAAAUCGGGUGGGACUACCCGCUGAACUUAAGCAUAUCAAUAAGCGGAGGA